GGGUUGUGAGGUUAAGCGACUAAGCGUACACGGUGGAUGCCCUGGCAGUCAGAGGCGAUGAAGGACGUGCUAAUCUGCGAUAAGCGUCGGUAAGGUGAUAUGAACCGUUAUAACCGGCGAUUUCCGAAUGGGGAAACCCAGUGUGAUUCGUCACACUAUCAUUAACUGAAUCCAUAGGUUAAUGAGGCGAACCGGGGGAACUGAAACAUCUAAGUACCCCGAGGAAAAGAAAUCAACCGAGAUUCCCCCAGUAGCGGCGAGCGAACGGGGAGCAGCCCAGAGCCUGAAUCAGUGUGUGUGUUAGUGGAAGCGUCUGGAAAGGCGCGCGAUACAGGGUGACAGCCCCGUACACAAAAAUGCACAUGCUGUGAGCUCGAUGAGUAGGGCGGGACACGUGGUAUCCUGUCUGAAUAUGGGGGGACCAUCCUCCAAGGCUAAAUACUCCUGACUGACCGAUAGUGAACCAGUACCGUGAGGGAAAGGCGAAAAGAACCCCGGCGAGGGGAGUGAAAAAGAACCUGAAACCGUGUACGUACAAGCAGUGGGAGCACGCUUCGGCGUGUGACUGCGUACCUUUUGUAUAAUGGGUCAGCGACUUAUAUUCUGUAGCAAGGUUAACCGAAUAGGGGAGCCGAAGGGAAACCGAGUCUUAACUGGGCGUUAAGUUGCAGGGUAUAGACCCGAAACCCGGUGAUCUAGCCAUGGGCAGGUUGAAGGUUGGGUAACACUAACUGGAGGACCGAACCGACUAAUGUUGAAAAAUUAGCGGAUGACUUGUGGCUGGGGGUGAAAGGCCAAUCAAACCGGGAGAUAGCUGGUUCUCCCCGAAAGCUAUUUAGGUAGCGCCUCGUGAAUUCAUCUCCGGGGGUAGAGCACUGUUUCGGCAAGGGGGUCAUCCCGACUUACCAACCCGAUGCAAACUGCGAAUACCGGAGAAUGUUAUCACGGGAGACACACGGCGGGUGCUAACGUCCGUCGUGAAGAGGGAAACAACCCAGACCGCCAGCUAAGGUCCCAAAGUCAUGGUUAAGUGGGAAACGAUGUGGGAAGGCCCAGACAGCCAGGAUGUUGGCUUAGAAGCAGCCAUCAUUUAAAGAAAGCGUAAUAGCUCACUGGUCGAGUCGGCCUGCGCGGAAGAUGUAACGGGGCUAAACCAUGCACCGAAGCUGCGGCAGCGACACUAUGUGUUGUUGGGUAGGGGAGCG
Molecule: ribosomal RNA, 1205 nt
Filed under: Escherichia coli
Lineage: Bacteria; Pseudomonadati; Pseudomonadota; Gammaproteobacteria; Enterobacterales; Enterobacteriaceae
Description: partial 23S ribosomal RNA
Rfam family: Bacterial large subunit ribosomal RNA
Source: RNAcentral